This 408-nucleotide ribosomal RNA is filed under the name Triticum aestivum (bread wheat). RNAcentral's name for it is "partial small subunit ribosomal RNA". The record is from RNAcentral. Lineage: Eukaryota; Viridiplantae; Streptophyta; Magnoliopsida; Poales; Poaceae.
AUGCUUUUCCGGAUCGUGUUCUCUGCACCGUUCAUCCACCGCGCGGAGCGCCUGCAUCUGCACUUCGUCCUGCGGGCCCAUCUCUUAUGUCUCCAGAUCUGCGGUUGCAUGGCAUGUCUCCUGCAGGAAACUCGUCAAGAUAAGCAAGGAGAAAAAUCAGGAACAGAAUUAAUGGGUGGACUGAAUCUUCUUACCUGCUCAAAGACAGCAGACACUCCCGAAGAUGAAGUCAGCGUAACAACUUGUAGUCCUACAGGCUGGUUUACUGAACUUUCAGCUCAACUGAACCCUGCACGCGAGCUGUACAACUUAAAUAGAAGUUCCUGCCAAUUCAUGCUACAACAGAGUUUACAGCGCAAGGGGAAUCACCUCUGCGGAUACUUCAUCCAGCUUGCGAGUUGCAUCUGA